RNAcentral lists this ribosomal RNA (253 nucleotides) under uncultured bacterium. Its description in RNAcentral is "partial 16S ribosomal RNA". It matches the Rfam family "Bacterial small subunit ribosomal RNA", at positions 524 to 776 of the family's 1533-position model. The record is from RNAcentral.
UACGUAGGAUGCAAGCGUUGUCCGGAAUUAUUGGGCGUAAAGAGCGCGCAGGCGGUUCUUCAAGUCAGAUGUGAAAUAUCCGGGCUUAACCCGGAGGGGUCAUUUGAAACUGGGGAACUAGAGUACAGCAGAGGAUAGCGGAAUUCCCGGUGUAGUGGUGAAAUGCGUAGAUAUCGGGAGGAACACCAGUGGCGAAGGCGGCUAUCUGGGCUGAAACUGACGCUGAGGCGCGAAGGCUAGGGGAGCAAACAGG